UACAGAGGGUGCGAGCGUUGUCCGGAAUCACUGGGCGUAAAGGGCGCGUAGGUGGUGGCUUAAGCGUGCGGUGAAAGCUCGGGGCUCAACCCCGAGUCGGCCGUGCGAACUGGGCUCACUGGAGCAUAGUAGAGGCAGGUGGAAUUCCGGGUGUAGCGGUGGAAUGCGCAGAUAUCAGGAGGAACACCAAUAGCGAAGGCAGCUCGCUGGGACGUUACUGACACUGAGGCGCGAAAGCGUGGGGAGCGAACAGG
Molecule: ribosomal RNA, 254 nt
Filed under: uncultured bacterium
Lineage: Bacteria
Description: partial 16S ribosomal RNA
Rfam family: Bacterial small subunit ribosomal RNA
Source: RNAcentral